UACGCGUGGUUGCAUAGUAGCACACGGUAUUGAUUAUUGAUGCUUACGUGAGAAGUCACUCAGUUUUGUUCAAUUAUUGCUACAGUAAUUGUUGCAUAGUAUCUCACGUUAUUUGAUUCAAUUAUUGUCGAUAUUUUAUACAUUAUUAAAUCAAUAAUUGAGAUGACAGAGUUAUUAAUAUUAUUAUUUGCAAUAUUAACGAUGUCUAGAAGUUCUGCCAAGGAGAG
RNAcentral lists this long non-coding RNA (227 nucleotides) under Panax ginseng (ginseng). RNAcentral describes it as "long non-coding RNA (PGIN_LNC013389)". The record is from RNAcentral. Lineage: Eukaryota; Viridiplantae; Streptophyta; Magnoliopsida; Apiales; Araliaceae.